ACUUAACACAAACCUCUUCUGAACUCUGGGACAAUUUGGUUUAUCUUUCGGUCUCUUUGUUUUUGUUUAAAGCUGUACCCCAAGCGUUUCCUGUUUCCAGAGGGGAUCAGAAAUGGAAAUAGUUUAAAGGUUAUUCUCAUAUCGUGGGUAACCAGGAAGCAUCUAUGUAGUUUACUGGGAAGCUGGUUUUCACAAGACUGCUUGUAUUUUUUUUUUUUUUUUUUUUAAAUCCUAACAAAGGCGGGACCCAAGAUAAGCAGAAGCUAAGAAUACUGGAAGUUUUGAAUGCCUACUGGGACCACGUCUCUGGGAGCCUGCUUUUCCUCCUUUGCUCUCCUAACUCCAGAGAGUCUGAAUUCAACGGAGUGGGAUUUUCCAGCCUCUGAACACAUUGAUGUUUCUGCAGAACAUGUCUCACAUCCUGCUCACAGGGGAUGCCUUGAAGACAGGCAACGAAGAGGCUCGGGAAGGCCUUUUGUCUAAGGAAUCUUUCUGUUUAUAAGGAGUUUGCUCAAGUAGUUUAAGACUUGAGCUCUGGAACAAGAUCUGCAUUCAAAUCCUGACCACCAGUUUGGCAGUUAUGGGACCUUAGACGAGUUGAGAAUCUAAAGAUGAUGCCUUCCUUCACUCUGAGCAAAAAUGGUAUAAAGAUUAUAUAUUGAGGGGGAAAAACCAUUUGCCCUUCUGAUACCUAUUAUGUAAAAAUUUGUUUUUCUUUAUUUACUUUUAUUUUAUGUGUAUGAGUGUUAUGCCUGCAUGUAUGUUAGUGCACCCGUGUCGUGCAUUGCCAAUGGAGGACAGAAGACGGCAUUGGAUCCCCUGAGACUGGAGUUACGGACAGUUGUUAACUGCCAUGUGGAUGCUGGGAUUCAAACCUGGGUCUUUCUGCAAGAACAGUUAGUGCUCUUAACUGCUGAGUUGUCUCUCCAGCCCCUGACCUAUUCUUGAUUCAUAAUGAUAAGAUUAAAUAACAUGAAGUCAAAACUUGGUUAUCCCACCAGCUGCUGUCAAGUGUGUUUACAGAGCUUUAAUCUAGCUUGAUGUUGAUAAUGGAAUCUGAGUGGCAGAGUUUCCAAGCCAACACAUUAGCAUGUUUGCAUAAUAAGUAUUCAUCUGGAAGUUAACUUUCUGCUAAAAAUUUUAGAGAGAAGCAAAGUUCUUUGGAAAGAGUUACCUUAGAGCUUUAGAAAUGCUAGCCUAUGGUCAGUUUUUCCAUGUUUCCAAGUUUGCCUAAAGGAAUUAGGAACUCACAGAUGACAUGGUUAAUGUUUCUGAAAUGCUUGUUCAUUCUGAGCACUGCUUUACAUCUUAUUUUGCAGAAUCCUCUUUGCAACUGUGCUUACCAUUCUCCACAUUUCCAUUUCAAAGCUGGAGGAGCCAAGGGCCAGAGACAUAGCUGCUAAGUAGCAAAGCUGAGAUCAGACCCAGGAAAUCCAACUUAAGCCCACUGGUCCACAAAUUAAAUCUCAACCACUAUACUUGUUUCUAUGAUAUCAUAUACCAAGAUGCAGGAGUCAACAGAAAACGAAGUGACUGUUUCUUGUAUACCUUCAAAUGACCUAGACACAUUAUGGUUAAAGAGACACUGCUUGUAGAUGAAGGUGACCUAAGACUGAUCAAAUCAAUGUGGACAAGCAGAGAUGCAGGCAGAGGCUAAUGCAGCAUGCUGCUGGAAAGAGGAGAACCCAGUGACCGACUCCAUUAACUCCAUCUUCAUCUUCCAACAGUGUGAAUAAUUAAGAUAUGGGUUGGUACUAAGUAGCUCAGCUCCUUUUACGAGCGGCUUAUGGAACUGUGGAAACUAUCUAAAAAUAUAUAACCAAUGUGAGAGAAAUAAUGUUGUUACAGGGGAAUUGAUAACUGAGGAUAAUGGGAAAGGAAAGAAAGAGCAAGUUGCAGCUAAUUAUGAGGGAAAGCCCCUUGACACCGAGAAUGGUGAGCCAGGAUAAUGGUCUCCUGGGGGGAGUGGCAGAAUCACCAUCAGUUAGUACAUUUAAAAAUAGGCAACAGAGCACUAGAAACAGGGCUAUGGGGAAUAAUCUUGCAUUAGGCAGGAAAGGAGGUAAUUGACUGAGUGACCUAAUAUUAAGAGUUUUCUUUCUCAUGAAUUUCGUGAAUUCUGGAAAAAAAUUUAUAAUCUGUAUUCAAAAAUGUAGGUACCUAGUGACUGGAAAUACCUAAAUAUAGUCUCAAAUUAUUCAUAAAUGCAAAAUGAGAGCAGCUGUGCCCUAGAUGGACCAUGAUACGCUGGUCAGAGGAAAUGCAGGAGGUGGACAGGGAAUGGCGCAGUGCUGUCAGAAGCCAGAUUUCUCUGGGGCACUCAGGUGGGGCUUUGCUCACGUGCACCUGAGCUGCUCAAAGGUGUGUCAGUUGUUUGCCUAGAUCUCUUUGCCCCUUCCUCUUCUCAUCCUACACUAGUGCACUGCCGGAGUUGGCGAAGACACCAUUUGUGUGUCUGUAUCUUCCAAAUCAGUGCUCUCCAGCCUUUAAAACUGGUGAUGGUGAGAUCACAAAGCUGUUUCCUGUGUAGUCCAGAAGCUUGACUCAGCCCCGGAGAGGCUUGCUCAAAGUGCCAAUGUCAGAAUUUUCCUGCAGACCCACGGAAGCAGCAUGGAAGCUGUGGAGGGGUGGAUCUGCAGCUUUAUUAAUGCAAGCUUUAACACAUAUUAAAAUGGAGAAAUUUCACCUGGGAUAGGACAUGAUGGUUAAGUCAAAAGAAACUGCAGGGGAGAGUGACAGACUGAAGCCUCCUCGCCUGUUCGCUCCUUUCCUUUCCCUGAUUUUCCUUUACUUUGAAUCAAAUGAAAUCUCUUCUAAAUUUCAUUCUACUUAUGAACUUCUAAGUAAAUAUGUGGCCACACCUAGAAUAUAUUUUAGUUACUUGCAAAAAGCUUUAAUGGAAGUUUCUAGUAUGUCUAAGAUGCUAGUUACUAUUCUCUUGUUUUUAUGUUACUUCAUUCCUUUGGAGGACAGAGAUUAUGUCUCAAUCAUUUUCCUAUCCUUACAGUGCUAUGGUGAAGAGUAGGUUAUUUUUAUUGAAUGUGAUUAAGUCAAAUUUGUAAAAAGUAAUAAAAAAACAAGGUAUAUAAUAGAAACCCAGGGAAUGUCAGCUUUGCCAGUGUUACAAGUCCUAGACACUUCGCUGGGCUUUUACUUCCACCUCUGUCAAUAAGCUUAUCUGAAAAAUUAGCAAGUUAUGUGAUGUUUCAGUUCCCUACCCCUACCCCAAGUUGGCAGGAAUAGCAAUCACUUUUUUUUUUCACAAAGCAGUUGAUAGAGUAAACAUGAUAAUACCACUCUUUACUAUCACUUUUCACUUACGGAAGUUAAAAAAAUGAUAUCAACAUUAUCUACAUCAUUUUACCAUCUCCAAAACACUGAACAGGAGUGCAAUCUGCAUUCCCCAGAGAUAAUUACUUUCCCUUACAUCAAGGCAAACCAGAAAAGAGAAAACAGGAAAAAACAAAGAUUCCAGGAAUUGCAUCUAGUUAUAAUGCGUAUCACUAAUCAGUCUUCUAAUAUGAUUCUCUGGAUGAUUCUAGAUAUCAGGACAAGGAAAACAAUUGGCCUUGUUUAAUUUUUGACAUGCUACCUAAUGAACAACUCAACCAUUUUCAUAGAAGGCGAAAUUAUAGCAGUGCUGCGGGUAUGUGGCUACUGUAUUGAAAGUUAAUUGGAUUUCCCAUUAUGAUGAGGUUUGUUUUUCAGAAUUUAAUCUCCUAGUCUCUUCCAAUUGCUCUGAGUUGAUGAUGAGACAGAAGACAUAUAGGGCAUGUGGAGUGAGUCAUGGGUUUAGAAGGAACCUCAUUAGGUCAGAGAAUCCUUAGAUAUAUUAGUGCAUUGUUAUGGUGCAUGCAGGAGCUAGGAUUGAGUAGAAUGUGUCUUCCCAACAUGGACUUUUUCAGAAGGGGAAACUGACUAGCUGUCUUUAGCCCUGCCUCCACCCCAUUCGGACAGUGAUGUGUUUUUAUUCCAUUAGGACGUUGAAUGUUAUCUGUGUGGCUGGAACUAAACAGCAUACCAACUUCUUUUCUAGUCUAAGAGAUUGUUCUAUAGAUUACCUCUUUAACAUCAGUUUGUUUGCUCUGGUGUUUUGAAAAGUGAAAAGAAUUUUCAGAGCAAAAGAACUAUUUUGCACAAAGAUCCAGUAGGCAGUAAUGGACUAGGUGACAAUGGGGAUUUCCCAGUUAUAAAAUGGUAGCUCACACUGUCACCCUAAAAAACAACAAUGGGCAAGAGUGUGGCUAAAAAUAUGCUACUUCAGUGACCCAGUGAGUAGCCCCAGGGAAGGAAGACUUAGCAGACAGAUCAGUGUACCCAGGGGCUCUGAGGAAGUCCUGGAGGCUACUUGACCUAUAAUUGCAUGCAGGAAGAAUGUUCAGCUUACAGUUUUGACACUAUGACUAAAGGUUAUUAAUGAAGUAGUUGUAUCUAUUCAUAUGUUACUAAGAACAUUGACUCUUUAAGUGUAAACAUUUAAAACAUGCCAGUUUUGCUAAUCUUAUUAUGACAUAGUAUCAUUUUGUAAGUUACCAAGAUUCUAAAGAUAAAGUGACCAGGGAUGCCUGUAAACUUGUAGAAACUGACCACUGCCUGCUGGAGAGCCUGGCAGCAGUGAGUGGGGAGAGCUCCUAAAUAAAGUCUUUAGAACUGUGGGCAGAAGUUGAGAAAGGUAAGCCAGGGGACAGCUGGUGAGAACUACGAACUCCAACCAAUUCUAAACUCUUACAGGCAUGUCCUUGACUGUCUACCUGUUAAUGUCCCCAAACUUCAAAUUUAACUUCUGUUUAUGUCAACUUUUACAUUAAAUAUAUUGAAAUUUU
Long non-coding RNA from Nannospalax galili (Upper Galilee mountains blind mole rat), 4823 nucleotides. RefSeq lists it as uncharacterized. NCBI's taxonomy places the organism in Eukaryota, Metazoa, Chordata, Mammalia, Rodentia, Spalacidae. The transcript has 5 exons. The record is from RefSeq and is a predicted model, not a curated record.